GACGAACGCUGGCGGCGUGCUUAACACAUGCAAGUCGAACGGAAAGGCCCUGCUUUUGUGGGGUGCUCGAGUGGCGAACGGGUGAGUAACACGUGAGUAACCUGCCCUUGACUUUGGGAUAACUUCAGGAAACUGGGGCUAAUACCGGAUAGGAGCUCCUGCUGCAUGGUGGGGGUUGGAAAGUUUCGGCGGUUGGGGAUGGACUCGCGGCUUAUCAGCUUGUUGGUGGGGUAGUGGCUUACCAAGGCUUUGACGGGUAGCCGGCCUGAGAGGGUGACCGGCCACAUUGGGACUGAGAUACGGCCCAGACUCCUACGGGAGGCAGCAGUGGGGAAUAUUGCACAAUGGGCGGAAGCCUGAUGCAGCAACGCCGCGUGCGGGAUGACGGCCUUCGGGUUGUAAACCGCUUUCGCCUGUGACGAAGCGUGAGUGACGGUAAUGGGUAAAGAAGCACCGGCUAACUACGUGCCAGCAGCCGCGGUGAUACGUAGGGUGCGAGCGUUGUCCGGAUUUAUUGGGCGUAAAGGGCUCGUAGGUGGUUGAUCGCGUCGGAAGUGUAAUCUUGGGGCUUAACCCUGAGCGUGCUUUCGAUACGGGUUGACUUGAGGAAGGUAGGGGAGAAUGGAAUUCCUGGUGGAGCGGUGGAAUGCGCAGAUAUCAGGAGGAACACCAGUGGCGAAGGCGGUUCUCUGGGCCUUUCCUGACGCUGAGGAGCGAAAGCGUGGGGAGCGAACAGGCUUAGAUACCCUGGUAGUCCACGCUGUAAACGGUGGGUACUAGGUGUGGGGUCCAUUCCACGGGUUCCGUGCCGUAGCUAACGCUUUAAGUACCCCGCCUGGGGAGUACGGCCGCAAGGCUAAAACUCAAAGGAAUUGACGGGGCCCCGCACAAGCGGCGGAGCAUGCGGAUUAAUUCGAUGCAACGCGUAGAACCUUACCUGGGUUUGACAUGGAUCGGGAGUACUCAGAGAUGGGUGUGCCUCUUUUGGGGUCGGUUCACAGGUGGUGCAUGGCUGUCGUCAGCUCGUGUCGUGAGAUGUUGGGUUAAGUCCCGCAACGAGCGCAACCCUUGUUCACUGUUGCCAGCACGUUAUGGUGGGGACUCAGUGGAGACCGCCGGGGUCAACUCGGAGGAAGGUGGGGAUGACGUCAAGUCAUCAUGCCCCUUAUGUCCAGGGCUUCACGCAUGCUACAAUGGCUGGUACAGAGAGUGGCGAGCCUGUGAGGGUGAGCGAAUCUCGGAAAGCCGGUCUCAGUUCGGAUUGGGGUCUGCAACUCGACCUCAUGAAGUCGGAGUCGCUAGUAAUCGCAGAUCAGCAACGCUGCGGUGAAUACGUUCCCGGGGCU
RNAcentral lists this ribosomal RNA (1346 nucleotides) under uncultured bacterium. RNAcentral describes it as "bacterial SSU rRNA". It matches the Rfam family "Bacterial small subunit ribosomal RNA", at positions 28 to 1381 of the family's 1533-position model. The record is from RNAcentral.